AUUGAACGCUAGCGGCAGGCUUAAUACAUGCAAGUCGUGGGGCAGCACAGUGUAGCAAUACAUGGGUGGCGACCGGCAAACGGGUGCGGAACACGUACGGAACCUUCCUUCGAGCGGGGAAUAGCCCAGAGAAAUUUGGAUUAAUACCCCAUAGUAUUACGGAGUGGCAUCACUUUGUAAUUAAAGAUUUAUCACUUGAA
RNAcentral lists this ribosomal RNA (200 nucleotides) under uncultured bacterium. RNAcentral describes it as "partial 16S ribosomal RNA". It matches the Rfam family "Bacterial small subunit ribosomal RNA", at positions 30 to 223 of the family's 1533-position model. The record is from RNAcentral.